RNAcentral lists this ribosomal RNA (1488 nucleotides) under metagenome. RNAcentral describes it as "bacterial LSU rRNA". It matches the Rfam family "Bacterial large subunit ribosomal RNA", at positions 1355 to 2925 of the family's 2925-position model. The record is from RNAcentral.
UGGAGGAAGGUUCGUCCGCUCCAAGUAAGUCGGGAGCUAAGGUCAGGCCGAAAGGCGUAGCCGAUGCACAUACGGUUGAUAUUCCGUAACCAUCUGUAAUUUAAGCAAAGGGACACUUCAAAAGGGUGUGACCCGGGCGUUGGUUGACCCGGGCGUAAGGGACCGAAAUUAGAGUAGGGAAGCACACUUGGCUGAAGGCGAGAAAAGCUUUGCGUAUAGAAGCAGAUGCCCGUACCGCAAACCGACACAGGUGGACAGGAAGAGAAUUCUAAGGCCAGCGGGAGAAGGGUAGUUAAGGAACUCGGCAAAUUGACUCCGUAACUUCGGAAUAAGGAGUGCUCGAAAGAGCCGCAGAGAAUAGGCCCAGGCGACUGUUUAGCAAAAACACAGGUCUCUGCCAAAUCGAAAGAUGAAGUAUAGGGGCUGACACCUGCCCGGUGCCGGUAGGUUAAGAGGAGGAGUGAGAGCUCCGAAUUGAAGCCCCGGUAAACGGCGGCCGUAACGAUAACGGUCCUAAGGUAGCGAAUUCCUUGUCGGGUAAGUUCCGACCCGCACGAAUGGUGUAACGAUCUGGGCACUGUCUCAACUACCCACCCGGCGAAAUUGUAGUACCGGUGAAGAUGCCGGUUACCUGCGGCAAGACGGAAAGACCCCAUGGAGCUUUACUGUAGCCAGAUAUUGGGUUUCGGAAAUCUAUGUACAGGAUAGGCGGGAGACUGGGAAACAUGAGCGUCAGCUUGUGUGGAGUCGAUGUUGGGAUACCGCCCUUAGGUUUCUGGAAUUCUAACCUGCGGCCGUGAAUCCGGUCGGGGGACAUUGUCAGGUGGGCAGUUUGACUGGGGCGGUCGCCUCCGAAAAGGUAACGGAGGCGCUCAAAGGUUAGCUCAGCACGGACGGAAACCGUGCCUCUGAGUGUAAACGCAAAAGCUAGCCUAACUGCGAGGGUGACGGCCCGAGCAGUAACGAAAGUUGGAGUUAGUGGUCCGGCGGUAUGUGAAUGGAAAUGCCGUCGCUCAACGGAUAAAAGCUACCCUGGGGAUAACAGGCUGAUCUCCCCCAAGAGUCCACAUCGACGGGGAGGUUUGGCACCUCGAUGUCGGCUCAUCACAUCCUGGGGCUGUAUUCGGUCCCAAGGGUUCGGCUGUUCGCCGAUUAAAGUGGUACGCGAGCUGGGUUCAGAACGUCGCGAGACAGUUCGGUCCCUAUCUGUCGUGGGCGCAGGAUAUUUGAGGAGCUCUGUCCUUAGUACGAGAGGACCGGGAUGGACGUACCUCUGGUGCACCAGUUGUCAUGCCAAUGGCACGGCUGGGCAGCUAUGUACGGAACGGAUAAACGCUGAAAGCAUCUAAGCGUGAAGCCGACUCCAAGAUUAGAUAUCCCAUCGUAUAACGAGUAAGACCCCUUGAAGACUACGAGGUUGAUAGGCUGCGUGUGUAAGUGCCGUGAGGCACUCAGCUUGGCAGUACUAAUAGGUCGAGGGCUUGACCU